Molecule: long non-coding RNA, 1358 nt
Organism: Tribolium castaneum (red flour beetle)
Lineage: Eukaryota; Metazoa; Arthropoda; Insecta; Coleoptera; Tenebrionidae
Exons: 3
Source: RefSeq, a predicted model, not a curated record
UUUCACAAGAUUGCCAUGACUUUAACGUUGUUCUGUCAAGCUGUGACAGGUUGCAUUUUGAAAAUUUAUCGAAUUGAAUUCGUCGCAUCUCAUUGAAAAUCAAAGAAAAACAGUGCCAAAUGGUCGUGUGUGAAUAGUGUGAGGUGUAUUUUUGUGUUUUGCAAGUGCUGCGAGUAUUUUUUGUGCAAAUUUCCCAUUUCCAAUAAUCUCAUGACGCCGCGGUACUGGUGACCGUGCCAUCGGCCGCCGAGAAAUAUGCAAAUUUCGUUUGAAAAUACCAUUUGGCCCACAUUUCACACUUAAAACAGGUACGAGGGGAUUCUUAGAGUAGAAUGGGAGCCCAGAGGGCUCCCGCAUGACGUGAGGGGGCCGAAGGCCCCCAAGCGUCACGUAUAAGUCGCGACCGUCGCGAAAUGUGGAAUUAUUAUUCGUCGAAAAUGCGAUUUGGCCAGAUUUGCUUGCUCGAAACAGGUCCAAGAUUAUUUACAGAGUGUUGUUUAUGCUCCUAGAGCCCCCAUACACAUGAAUUUAUCAAAGAAAUUGUUUAGUAAAUUAUCGAAAAUAUCAAUAUAAAAGGUUGGCAGUGAAAUGACGUCAUCAGACACGUGGCGUAAACAUUGGCGUUCGCUGUAACGUAAAAAUCGGGUUGAAAUUGGUUGCGAUUAACUAAAAAGUGGAGAAGUGAAUGGUGUAAAGUGCAAUUAUAUCAAGUUUUUCAAGUCCAGUGAGUGUUUUUUGUGAAAAUUUUAGGCAGGUACAACCGGCGUUUCCGCAGCCAGCCGAAUUAUCUGGAAUUUUCCGUGCAAAAUCCGUACGCGCUCGAAACAGAUCCAAGAUGAUUUGUAAAGUGUUGUUUGUGCCUCAAGAACCCCCAUUUAUAGGAAUUUGCAAAAGAAAUGUUUAAAAAGUAAAAAUAUGGUAAUUUUAAUUACGAUAUUUGGCAGCACUAACAAUGACAGAUCCAAGUGUUGGUUAACGUGAUCAAGAUAUCAACAUAACCUCAAAAAACAACAUGAAAAGUCUAAGAAAAGCGAUGACAGUUGGGUUGUAUUUGGUUUAGAUGGUGGUGGUGUUUUUUGGGUCAGCGGAUGGUCUAAAAAUGUAAUUUCGAAGAAAAUCGAACGAAAACUGUGAGAAUUGGCCCUGGGUGGUUGAAAACGCGCGAAUUUGGGGGACGUAUUUUGUGAAAUUGGCAUUGCAUGUCUAACGAGCUGCGUUGGCGGGACUUAACGCCACCCGCAUGCCACCCCUCGCCGCUAGAUUUACACUCGAAACGGGAACUUGGUGAUUUGAAUAAAAGUUCUAAUAAGAGUACCAAUGCGCAGUCUUUGAUUGAAACAAAGACUGUGCAUUGGUAC